Long non-coding RNA from Mus musculus (house mouse), 3585 nucleotides. RefSeq annotates it as predicted gene, 36851. The record is from RefSeq and is marked validated. NCBI's taxonomy places the organism in Eukaryota, Metazoa, Chordata, Mammalia, Rodentia, Muridae. The transcript has 4 exons.
GCUGGUCCCAGACCACACAUGAGGUUGCGGUAGCGCAUGGAUAAAGGCAUUAGAUUCGCUGGAGACUCGCUGGUCACUAGAGAGCUGGAAGGCUUUUACUGGUUCAAUUCUGCUGUAGCUGCCACUGACUGCUCAUCAAUGUGAGAAGCUUUCCAGAUCAGUUAAAAUCAGGUAUUCCCCAAACGCCUUCCUUUCCCCCUCGGAGUGUAUGAGGAAUAAAACAGAUUCCAACGAUCUUACCCCAGCUAACUCUCCCCAUUACAUUGGACCAACUUUGCUUUCCCAUUCUGCCUCUCAAGGCUCAUCUGAGCAUUUCAUAUACUUUAAUUGGCCCUUAGUUGAAAAGCUUUUGAUGGAUUCACAGUGCAGAAUCUGGUGGGGCACUAUCCUUGAUGUUUUCCACAGUGUCCUAGGUAAAUCUAAAAGUGAAAACUCCUGAGAACCCAGGGAAUUGUCUUUAAGAAUAGAAUGAGUUCACUUUAAUAAUCAAAUUUCUUUUCUAUUUUGAUCCUCAUAAUUGUGAAAGUCAUAUUGAGAGCUGCACUGUCUGGCUCCCUCCAUUUUGUGCAAUUAUUAAAUGUUUAUUAUAAUUUCCACAGUCUUAUCUCCCACGUAUCUAGCUAUUUUAUGCAUUUAAGAAUAGCCUCACUAAUUUCUUUCCUAAGAAUGGCUGAUAUCCCUCAUGGACUAAUGGCCAUAUGUGAAAAUCAAAUGCCCAUCAAAACUAGCAUUCUUUAAGCUUUCUGAUCUCUAUGCCUUCCUUUCUGACUUAUUGUUAAAAUCGGCAAUGUCCUUAUCUCACUUUAAUCUCAUCAAUGAAAACAUUUUGCUCUCUGUAUUCCAGUUAUCAAGAUUCUAUGCUUCUUUCAAUAGUGUCCUCAAAUAGUGACAUCGUCAUCAUUUAUUCACUUUACAUCCCAAUCACAGCCCCCUCCCUCCUCCUGUCCCAGGGCCACCCUUACAAAUCCUUCCCACCAUUGCCCCUCCCCUUCCUCAGAGAAGGGGAGUACUUUCUCCACAGCAUUUUCCUAACCCACCUUAUGUUGAUGCAACUUGUAGAAGAUUCACCUUGAAGCCACAGGAAACAUCGAUGAGAUGGGCUGACAGUUGCUACACUAACUGCUACUGUGACUUAGGCACCAUCUUCAUUGUGGCAACUUGUAGAGAAAUUAAGAUCCUCUCUCUCUCUCUCUCUCUCUCUCUCUCUCUCUCUCUCUCUCUCUCUCUCUCUCUCUCCCUACUUCUCAUGAGGAGACUUUUGCCUGAAGUUCUCCCUCCCACUAUUACUGGCCAGAGGUGGUUGCAUAACUGCUCACAAAUUACGCAUAUGAGAAAAUAACAACAUUCCCAAUAUUGAUUAAGAUAAUCAGCUUAAACUCCCCAAAGCUGGACCUGACAUUGUUCCCAUGAAGCCUAUUAUCAUGUGGUGAAUGGUGGGAUCUAAAAUAAAGUCUGAGGUCUCUUAGAACGGGAAAUAGAGAGGAAUUUUAGUUUGACUAAUCAAUGUUUAUUCUAAUUAUUAUCUCUCUCCCAUACCGCCUAUAGUGUUUUGGAAAUAUUUCCAGUUGAGCAGCAUUCUUGUGGUAUUAUGUUUCUACAUAUUUACCUCUCGCCUAUCUCCCUCUAGCUUCAAGAUGACCAAAUGGCCCACUCAAUAGCUAUAAGGACGAGAGCUAUACUGGACACAUCAGACAAAAAAAUAUCUUUAGUUACGUUCCUUGUUUCCCCCUGGAUAGUGUGGAUAUAAAAACUGUGUCUCGAGCUUGUUUCCAUAGCAGAUACUACUGUGAAGCUUCACACUCGCCUUGUGUCCUUGGCCCCUGUUAAUUCUGCGCACUGGCCCACACCUGUGAAGAUGAUGCGAGCCAAGGCCCUGUAAGUCCUCCGAGUACGGAUGAAUCCUCCAUUCAUUCUGCUUUCCACUCGGAGAAUGACGGACAGAGGUGAGCUCAAACGGAGUCUCGAAGGACAAAGCUUUUCUCUGUGAAAAGGUAACUGGUUCACACCUGCAUCCUGCUUGGAGCCCAGGCCUCAUUAGCACCAUUUUCUAAUCCUGCAGAGAGCUCCCAGCCAGCCCUCCAUGAGCAGGGAGAACAGCGGGUUCUCUGUGCCCUACAGUGGCCAUGUUUGCCUGGAGGAGCCAGGGAACAUCUGGUGAGAUUCUGCACCAUAGGGUGGCUGCAAAACAUUGGAUGUUUGAAUAAACGAACCCCGCAACCGCACCACAGAACACUGGAAGAGAGGGGACUCCUCACUCAAAGCUGCUUUCUCCCUCCCUGCUACAGUCUGAGCAGCAGUUAAACUUCAAAUAACCUCUGUGGUUCCUUCCCUCCUAGGGCAUGAACACAAUCAGAGGACAAGUAGACGGGUGUUUCCAGGAGCCAAUGAAAUAUUUUAUUUAUUUCAAUGGGAAAUCAAGCCAGCUGGCUCUUACAUGAAGCUAUCCCCUGGAAUUCACAAAUGCCACUUUCUUCUCCAUCGUGGAAGAAAAGAUACGUUGUAGUUUGGAACAAAGGUGACCCAAUAUUAUCUGGAUCGUGACAAGCCAUGAGGAAAGGGUGGCCAAAAACAAGAGCCCACCAUCUUGGUUGAGAAGGUUGAUGCGAAGCCAAACCCACUGGCUAGAGGGCGGAGACACUCCAGAUGAAGUGAUACCAGCAAGUGAUAGGAGGCACACUGAAGGGGGAAAACCUCCCCCAAACAGGCAUGGCUCAAUGUCCAUGUGCCUGACCAUGGGAAGACAGAGUCUGGAAGCGUGAGUAUUAGGCUGCAGGACUUCUUAGACUCCUUCCAGCUUCUGCCCGGUUCUUUAUACACCAAGGGAUUGAACCUGAGGAACAGUGCCACAGUAGGAAUACUGACUGGAGUGGGGCCUCAGGAGAAGGGGUUGGGAAAUCUCCAGAGCCCUGCAGUCUGCAUCAUUUGCUCAGGAAUCAGAAUGCAUCUGCUAUGGUAUCUGUGCUGCUUCUCGUUUUAAGACUCAUUUUUCCUGUUAAUUUAUUUUCCAAUGAUCUAAAAUGGCAGCCUCAGAGACUCUCACAGCUUCUGGUUUAGAUCCCCAAAGCUGAGAAAGGAUUUAGUUAUUGUGAAAGCUGGCCUCUGCUCCAUGGUGUAUCAAUUGCUGAUGCAGCCAUCCCUUCAGGGAUAUUUUUGAGAAGUGGUGUUAGCUAAGGGCAUGCACCAUUGAGUAUUGCUCUUUCCUGUGUGGGGCAGGCAAUGGAGGCCAGCUUACUCACCAUCCCCUCGAAAUCUUGUAGUUACUGCUAUACCUCUAGCCUUGCUGUCCUUGGAGAGUCUACAUAUUUAUUAUCUAACUCUAACUUCCUCAGGUUUUGAGGGGGGCAUGUUUGGGUGUGGUGUGUAUGGAUGUGGUGUGGUGGAUGUUUGUAGAUGUUUGUAUUUAUAUGUGUGUAUAUGUCUAUGUGUAUAUAUGUUUGGGUGUAUGAAUAUGUAUGUUUAUGUCUAUGUGUAUAUAUGUUUGGGUGUAUGAAUAUGUAUGUGUAUGUGUAAAAGUAUGUACAUUUCAGGCAAUAGUCUACUAUUUAUCCAGAAAAGAACUAUCAAAUGAAUAAAUAUUAUUCAAAU